UCUCAGUGAUGCGAUUCCAGCAGAUCCUUCUGACUCUCCACUGUGGACUCAGUAGCAGGGAGAUGAAGAGGACCGUGACUCAGAGA
This is a small nucleolar RNA of Bison bison bison, 86 nucleotides long. NCBI's taxonomy places the organism in Eukaryota, Metazoa, Chordata, Mammalia, Artiodactyla, Bovidae. The record is from Ensembl.